GAUCAUGGCUCAGGAUGAACGCUGGCGGCGUGCUUAACACAUGCAAGUCGAACGAUGAAGCUGGAGCUUGCUCUGGUGGAUUAGUGGCGAACGGGUGAGUAACACGUGAGCAACCUGCCCCUGACUCUGGGAUAACAGCCGGAAACGGCUGCUAAUACCGGAUAUGCACCAUGAACGCAUGUUCUGUGGUGGGAAAGAUUUUUCGGUUGGGGAUGGGCUCGCGGCCUA
RNAcentral lists this ribosomal RNA (228 nucleotides) under uncultured bacterium. RNAcentral's name for it is "partial 16S ribosomal RNA". It matches the Rfam family "Bacterial small subunit ribosomal RNA", at positions 15 to 240 of the family's 1533-position model. The record is from RNAcentral.